Molecule: small RNA, 78 nt
Organism: Cyanothece sp.
Lineage: Bacteria; Bacillati; Cyanobacteriota; Cyanophyceae; Gomontiellales; Cyanothecaceae
Rfam family: Cyano-1 RNA
Source: Rfam
GUGUGUGUGAGGAGUAAGAACGAAAGACAAAAGCCUUUGAGGUCGAAACAUGGCCAGACUCUUGAAGGCUUUUUUUCU